UGCAGGACUGCAUCUGCCAAGCCCCUCUUGUUGGAGCAGUGGUGCCACUGGGAGAGGUCGCUGGUGCAGUCAGAGUCCUCCGGUGGAGGGCGUACUUGUAGCUCAUUCACGCAGCGCUUGCAGCGGAACCUGGGACCAAGAUGAUAUCUGCCCCCUGCUGGUCUGGAGGAAUAUCAUUGCAGUACGCAUGCACUGACCAAGACGAUCUGCAUCCACGAACCCCCAUCGAUUGCAAGCGGCUGGAUCCUAGAGCCAAGCCACUUGCCCACCUCGUUGUACCAGCCGCGCACAAGGCUGGAGGGUGAGACCACGAUCGCUUUGUUGAUCUCAGGCUUGCCAUCAGGGC
Molecule: long non-coding RNA, 346 nt
Organism: Paramormyrops kingsleyae
Lineage: Eukaryota; Metazoa; Chordata; Actinopteri; Osteoglossiformes; Mormyridae
Source: RefSeq, a predicted model, not a curated record